UAAAGGUUUGGUCCUAGCCUUUUUAUUAGUUGUCAAUAAAAUUAUACAUGCAAGAGUCAUCAAACCUGUGAGAAUGCCCUCCAAAUCGCAUCGCGACCUAGAGGAGCUGGUAUCAAGCACACUACCGUAGCUCAUGACACCCCGCUUAGCCACACCCCCACGGGAUACAGCAGUAAUUAAAAUUAAGCAAUAAACGAAAGUUUGACUAAGUUAUAUAACAACUAAGGGUUGGUAAAUCUCGUGCCAGCCACCGCGGUCAUACGAUUAACCCUAAUUAAUAAACCCCGGCGUAAAGAGUGUUAAAGACAAAACUAAAAUAAGAUUAAAGUUUACCCAAGUCGUAAAAAACUACAGGUAAAAAAUAAAUCCACAUACGAAAGUUAUCUUAGUACACCUGAAUGC
This 402-nucleotide ribosomal RNA is filed under the name Octodon degus (degu). Its description in RNAcentral is "partial 12S ribosomal RNA". Lineage: Eukaryota; Metazoa; Chordata; Mammalia; Rodentia; Octodontidae. The record is from RNAcentral.